Molecule: ribosomal RNA, 254 nt
Filed under: uncultured bacterium
Lineage: Bacteria
Description: partial 16S ribosomal RNA
Rfam family: Bacterial small subunit ribosomal RNA
Source: RNAcentral
UACGUAGGGGGCAAGCGUUGUCCGGAUUUAUUGGGCGUAAAGAGCUCGUAGGCGGCUCGGUAAGUCGGAUGUGAAACCUCCAGGCUCAACCUGGAGACGCCAUCUGAUACUGCCGUGGCUUGAGUCCGGUAGAGGAGCAGGGAAUUCCUGGUGUAGCGGUGAAAUGCGUAGAUAUCGGGAGGAACACCAAUGGCGAAGGCAGCUCGCUGGGACGUAACUGACGCUGAGACGCGAAAGCGUGGGGAGCAAACAGG